Molecule: transfer RNA, 67 nt
Filed under: Eucriotettix oculatus
Lineage: Eukaryota; Metazoa; Arthropoda; Insecta; Orthoptera; Tetrigidae
Description: tRNA-Leu
Source: RNAcentral
ACUGCUUUGGCAGAGUUAAAUGUGUUAGGGUUAGGUUCUAUAUAUGUAUUAAAAUAUACAAGCAGUA